RNAcentral lists this ribosomal RNA (1357 nucleotides) under Mycobacterium sp. A16. Its description in RNAcentral is "bacterial SSU rRNA". It matches the Rfam family "Bacterial small subunit ribosomal RNA", at positions 73 to 1442 of the family's 1533-position model. Lineage: Bacteria; Bacillati; Actinomycetota; Actinomycetes; Mycobacteriales; Mycobacteriaceae. The record is from RNAcentral.
GGCCCUUUCGGGGGUACACGAGUGGCGAACGGGUGAGUAACACGUGGGUGAUCUGCCCUGCACUUUGGGAUAAGCCUGGGAAACUGGGUCUAAUACCGAAUAGGACUACGCGAUGCAUGUCGUGUGGUGGAAAGCUUUUGCGGUGUGGGAUGGGCCCGCGGCCUAUCAGCUUGUUGGUGGGGUGAUGGCCUACCAAGGCGACGACGGGUAGCCGGCCUGAGAGGGUGUCCGGCCACACUGGGACUGAGAUACGGCCCAGACUCCUACGGGAGGCAGCAGUGGGGAAUAUUGCACAAUGGGCGCAAGCCUGAUGCAGCGACGCCGCGUGAGGGAUGACGGCCUUCGGGUUGUAAACCUCUUUCAACGCCGACGAAGCGUAAGUGACGGUAGGCGUAGAAGAAGCACCGGCCAACUACGUGCCAGCAGCCGCGGUAAUACGUAGGGUGCGAGCGUUGUCCGGAAUUACUGGGCGUAAAGAGCUCGUAGGUGGUUUGUCGCGUUGUUCGUGAAAACUCACAACUCAAUUGUGGGCGUGCGGGCGAUACGGGCAGACUGGAGUACUGCAGGGGAGACUGGAAUUCCUGGUGUAGCGGUGGAAUGCGCAGAUAUCAGGAGGAACACCGGUGGCGAAGGCGGGUCUCUGGGCAGUAACUGACGCUGAGGAGCGAAAGCGUGGGGAGCGAACAGGAUUAGAUACCCUGGUAGUCCACGCCGUAAACGGUGGGUACUAGGUGUGGGUUUCCUUCCUUGGGAUCCGUGCCGUAGCUAACGCAUUAAGUACCCCGCCUGGGGAGUACGGCCGCAAGGCUAAAACUCAAAGGAAUUGACGGGGGCCCGCACAAGCGGCGGAGCAUGUGGAUUAAUUCGAUGCAACGCGAAGAACCUUACCUGGGUUUGACAUGCACAGGACGCCGGCAGAGAUGUCGGUUCCCUUGUGGCCUGUGUGCAGGUGGUGCAUGGCUGUCGUCAGCUCGUGUCGUGAGAUGUUGGGUUAAGUCCCGCAACGAGCGCAACCCUUGUCUCAUGUUGCCAGCGGGUAAUGCCGGGGACUCGUGAGAGACUGCCGGGGUCAACUCGGAGGAAGGUGGGGAUGACGUCAAGUCAUCAUGCCCCUUAUGUCCAGGGCUUCACACAUGCUACAAUGGCCGGUACAAAGGGCUGCGAUGCCGUGAGGUGGAGCGAAUCCUUGUUAAAGCCGGUCUCAGUUCGGAUCGGGGUCUGCAACUCGACCCCGUGAAGUCGGAGUCGCUAGUAAUCGCAGAUCAGCAACGCUGCGGUGAAUACGUUCCCGGGCCUUGUACACACCGCCCGUCACGUCAUGAAAGUCGGUAACACCCGAAGCCGGUGGCCUAACCCC